Molecule: non-coding RNA, 3449 nt
Organism: Zonotrichia albicollis (white-throated sparrow)
Lineage: Eukaryota; Metazoa; Chordata; Aves; Passeriformes; Passerellidae
Source: RefSeq, a predicted model, not a curated record
AACUCCAGCUCUGCUGAAUAUGGAUGUGGAGCUCUGCUGACAGAGAGCUGCUUUCCCUUGGGCUGUGGAAAAAACUGGUGCAAACCCCACCAACGUGCUGAAAUAUCUCCAAAGUGGAUAAAAAGGCUGGAGCUGGAUCUCAGCUGGGGCUGGUUUGGGAUGGGCAGUGGUCGGAGCCAGGCUGGGAGGGCUGGGGGUGCUCACCUGGAGAAGAGAAAGCUCCAGGGAAACCUUCCAGGGCCUAAAGGGGCUCCAGGAGAGCUGGAGAGGCACUUGGGACAAGGGAUGAAGGGACAGGACACAGGGAAUGGCUCCCACUGCCAGAGGGCAGGGAUGGAUGGAUAUUGGGAAGGAAUUCCUGGCUGUUAGGGUGGGGAGGCCCUGGCAGAGGGUGUCCAGAGAAGCUGUGGCUGUCCCAUCUCUGAAAGCGUCCAAGGCCAGGUUGGUGGGGCUUGGAGCAACGUGGGAUAGAGGAAGGUGUCCCUGUCCAUGGCAGGGGGUGGAACAGGAUGGGUUUUAAGGUCCCUUCCAACCCAAACCACUGUGGGAUUCUGUGGAUGCUCAGUGCUCCAUCCCUGCCUCCCCAUGAGAGUGAGCGUAACCUAUCCCCACAAUCAGAGCUACAAAAACGAUCAAACCCUCAAAACUUGGGUGUGUUUCUUUACCAGGAGCAUCACCAAAUUUUCUCAAAACCUUUUCCACACUUGUCUUACUGCAGGGAAUCCAUAAUGUCUCUGCCCACCAGGAAGAAGAGGAGUCCAGAGAGGAGCGCCAGGGGCACCCCGGCGGCGGCGAACAUGAAGGACCAGCCGUAGUAGACGUGCACGGGGACACCAUCCAGGCACCUCUCGCUCCUCUCCAGGAGGAUGUACCUCUGGAAGUCCGCUGCAAACUCCUUCCACAUCACAAAGAGAAACACGAGCAGGAGAAACAAACCUCCUGAGGAGAGAGAAAACGGAGUUAUUGUGUGUGCAGGGAAUACAGGAAUAAAGGACACUGGCAUUGGCACCGACACCCGAGACACAGGGUGUGUAUUGGAUUUGGAUCUGGGAGCCUGGAGCUCCAUCCCCCUCUCCCAAUGGAGCCGCUGUGUCUUCUGUGUGGGCAAAUUGAAGUGGAGCUUUUCCUUUCUCUCACUUUAUUUCCUUGUGACACCUUUAUAGCUGCUAAUUGUGGGGACAGGGAUGUUAAUAACAGCGAAAUGGAGGGGUGACCUUCAGCUGCCCUUCCAUAACUGUCAGCCUUCCCUGCACGUGGGGAGCCUGAGACUGCCAAAGUGGAGCUGCUCCAUUUGGGAAGCAGAAUCUGAGCAAAAAAAUCCAGCCCUUUAACUCACAGGAGUGGGAAAUCUGCCUUUUUUUCCAUGCUGUUGGGUCGUGCUGAAGAACAGGUUGGUCCCACCAUGGGCAGGGAUGUGUCCCAUCAUCCCAGGGUGCUCCAAACUCCAUCCAACCUGGCCUGGAACACUUCCAGGGAUGGGGCCUUCACAGCCUCUCUGGGCAACCUGUGCCAGUGCUGCACUUCUAAGUUUGGUCUCUAAAAUACCCAAAGGAAAAGAAAACUGAGGAGCACAAGGCAGGAAAAAAUGAAGGACCAAAAAGUAGGAAAGUUGUCUCAGCAACUCAAAGAGCUUCCAGAAGCUGCAGCACAGAGCUCACCCAGCCCUCCUGGUGACAUUGUAGUGACAAUUAACCAACCUCAGGCUACUGAAACAAAGGGACAAUCAGGCACCAGGCAGGAUCUGCACCCCUUGGAAGCACUGAAGCUCAUUCCAAGAUGGCAAAAGCUGGGAGGAAAGCACACACAGGCUACACUGACACUUGCCUCGUGUAUUCCAAGUGCUUUUGGGAGAAGGCUGGCAUGGAAAACUGCUCAGAAAAUGGCCUCAGCUGCAAAGGCAGCACCAGCAAAUGUCAGAUUGGUAUUAGGUCUUUCCAGAGCCACCCAGGGGAGGAAAUCCAGAGAAAUGGCUCCAAUGCUUUGGAAGGGCUCUCAGAAACACCUUCCAGAGCAAUCCAUUGUUUAUUGGAGCUGGCACAGUCAGGUUUGCCCUCUGGAAUGUACAGUAAAUAAAAGGCAUCCCAGGGGGAAAUCCAAAGGGAUCCAGUUGAGCCAUAACAAUCCUCACCCUUAGGCGCUGGAUGGGACAGAUGGACACACCACCCUCCUCAGGAUGGUCAUCCAUAAAUGUCUGGGAAUGCAUUUGCACCUGUGGUGUCUUUAGAGCCUUUUGGUGAGAAAAGUGACGUCAUUUUGCAAGGAAUAACCACGACUUCUCCCAAAAGCAGGGAGCUGGUGGGCAGAACAAAGCUGCUGGUGAAGGGUUCCCUGCCAGGCUGGGACAUCCCGCAGUCCUGGUGCUCCAUCUCCCAUUCCUGCUGCCAGACCACAUUCCCACUCUGCAGAUUGCCAGCUUUUUCACACUUCCUCAAGGAGAGAUCCUUUCUGCAGGGGAGGUUAAUUAACACUGACCCGCAGGCCAUGAUGAGAAGACAAGAGGAGCUUUCUCCUGCAUCAUCCCUGCACAUCCCAAAGGAAAGGGAUGGGUUGGGGACUCGAGCCUCUGUUAAAUCCAUUGUUCCUACUGCUCAGUGCAAUUAUGCUAAAUAUUUUUAGAAGGGAUAACGAGAAAAUAACCAUGGAGGGAUGCAACACAAAUCCAUCCAGAAGCCAGGGCCAAGCAGGAUCCAGAGGUCUGAGAUCAGGAUAAGCCCCCCGAAUAAAAGGAUCAGUUGAAACACUAAGGAAACUUUGCUGAAAAACACAUUGAAUCCUUCUGCUAUCAUUUGAGUGGAAAAUAUAGCAGGAAGUGUCUUCCAGCUGAACUCAUUCUCCUGAACGACUGUUAAUAACAAUGAUUGCUGUUCAGAUUGAAGCUGCAUUAAUACAAACUUCAAUUUUAACACCAGCAUCUUUGUGUAAUGCCAAGAGGUUUAUGUGAUGCAUAAUCAGCUCUUCCAAAAAGUGUCACAUUCGGAGCCCCAGCCUUUUAAUCAAGGAGUAGUCAAAUAAAGUGGAAAAGCAAUGAAGAAAAAGGAAAAGGAAAAAAAAAAAAAGGAAGACAGUUGAGUAUUACUCGGCAUCCUUUUCUGUGAUAUUUCUGCCCAAUGUGCAGGCUGGACACACUCCUCAGGGACAUCUGCUGUUCCUGGGAGCCUGGACUGCAGAUGGGAAGGGAAAGCUUCCUGCCCUGGUACAGCCCUUGGAUUUUUAUCCAAUAUGCAAUCACAACAACCCCAUGGAAAACUACAGCCUUGGGAAUCUGUUUGUGGAAAAGGCCCAGGGGGUGCCAACAGCUGGACAUGAGCCCAGGGUUCCCAGGUGGGCAGGAGGCCAGUGGCACCUGGCUUGGGUCAGGAAUGGUGUCCAGGGGAUCAGGGCAGUGCUGUCCCCUGUGCUGGCACUGCUGGGGCACCUCCAGUGCUGGGGCAGCUCGGGGACAUUGAGGG